Molecule: ribosomal RNA, 1047 nt
Filed under: uncultured bacterium
Lineage: Bacteria
Description: bacterial SSU rRNA
Rfam family: Bacterial small subunit ribosomal RNA
Source: RNAcentral
CUCCUACGGGAGGCAGCAGUAGGGAAUUUUCGGCAAUGGGGGCAACCCUGACCGAGCAACGCCGCGUGAGUGAAGACGGCCUUCGGGUUGUAAAGCUCUGUUGUAAGGGAAGAACGGUAGAUAGAGAAUAUCUAAGUGACGGUACCUUACCAGAAAGCCACGGCUAACUACGUGCCAGCAGCCGCGGUAAUACGUAGGUGGCGAGCGUUAUCCGGAAUUAUUGGGCGUAAAGGGUGCGUAGGCGGCCUGUUAAGUAAGUGGUUAAAUUGUUGGGCUCAACCCAAUCCAGCCACUUAAACUGGCAGGCUAGAGUAUUGGAGAGGCAAGUGGAAUUCCAUGUGUAGCGGUAAAAUGCGUAGAUAUAUGGAGGAACACCAGUGGCGAAGGCGGCUUGCUAGCCAAAGACUGACGCUCAUGCACGAAAGCGUGGGGAGCAAAUAGGAUUAGAUACCCUAGUAGUCCACGCCGUAAACGAUGAAUACUAAGUAUUGGGGAAACUCAGUGCUGCAGCUAACGCAAUAAGUAUUCCGCCUGUGGAGUAUGCACGCAAGUGUGAAACAUAAAGGAAUUGACGGGGGCCCGCACAAGCGGUGGAGUAUGUGGUUUAAUUCGACGCAACGCGAAGAACCUUACCAGGCCUUGACAUCCCUUGCAAAGCUGUAGAGAUACAGUAGAGGUUAUCAAGGAGACAGGUGGUGCAUGGUUGUCGUCAGCUCGUGUCGUGAGAUGUUGGGUUAAGUCCCGCAACGAGCGCAACCCUUGCCUUCAGUUACCAGCAUUUAGUUGGGGACUCUGGAGGGACUGCCGGUGAUAAACCGGAGGAAGGUGGGGAUGACGUCAAAUCAUCAUGCCCCUUAUGGCCUGGGCUACACACGUACUACAAUGGCUGUUACAACGUGCAGCGACCUAGCGAUAGGAAGCGAAUCACUAAAAGACAGUCUCAGUUCGGAUUGAAGUCUGCAACUCGACUUCAUGAAGCUGGAAUCGUCUAGUAAUCGCGGAUCAGAAUGCCGCGGUGAAUACGUUCUCGGGCCUUGUACACACCGC